GGCUGGAUCAUUAUCGAGCUAACCAAAAAACUCUCGCCCGACUGGGCUUGAGCUGUGGCACGAUUAUAUGCGGUGCAUUUGCUUGAUGCGCGUCAGCAUGCCACACCGACCCAACGGCUGAAGCUGGUGUCUAUUUCGAGCUGAGGGACUGUCGAUAUGCCGUGGUCCUAUUCUGGCUCGGAUGUAGCGCGUCUGUUUCGGAUGCGUAGACUCAAUGAGUGCCCGACAAGUGACACCGCCAGCGCUCUAUUUUUUUUUUCAUGAUUUUUUUCGCCUUCGGGCAAUUGAAAGACAUAUCAGUCUUACCGGUGGAUCACUCGGUUCGUGGAUCGAUGAAGAACGCAGCAAACUGCGAUAAGUAGCGUGAAUUGCAGACGCUUUGAACGUUAAACUUUCGAACGCACAUUGCGCCAUCGGAGUCCUACCCGAUGGCACAUCUGGUUGAGGGUCGUGAUCAAGAAACAGCUAGCAAAAGGCUGUAUUAGAACUAACUGGUGAAUCAUGUCGCCGACUAUCUGCUAGCAGUCGGCCGUGUUUUGCCAUCAUGCUUUAGGGGCUGCUUAUGUAGCUCGCCACACGGACGGGCAUUCCAGCUGGGCUGGCAUCCCGCCACUGGGUAUCAUACGAUAUAUAAUACUCGGUGGGUCGGAGGAUUAGGGCUGUGGAUGCUAACUGUACGUGCUUGGUAGUAACAGGGUGAAAACUCUCGUUUUCCCGACCUCAACUCAGGUGUGAUUACCCGCUGAACUUAAGCAUAUCAGUAAGCGGAGGAAAAGAAACUAACGAGGAUUCCCUUAGUAACGGCGAGUGAACGGGGAAGAGCCCAGCGCAAAAGCUCGUCGCUCUAACGGGUGACGAGCGGUGUUGCGUAUAGGAGGCGAUUCUCCUUGGUGGCUGUCGACUUAAAUUCUCCUUGACUGGGGUUCCAGAGAAGGUGAAAGGCCUGUUCAGUCGAUGGCCGCCUUGGAUUCCGUUCUCCUCGGAGUCGGGUUGUUUGGGAACGCAGCCCAAAUUUGGUGGUAAACUUCAUCUAAGGCUAAAUACGGCCACGAAACCGAUAGCAAACAAGUACCGUGAGGGAAAGUUGAAAAGUACUUUGAAGAGAGAGUUCAAGAGGACGUGAAACCGGUAGGAUGGAA
This 1139-nucleotide unclassified non-coding RNA is filed under the name Rhabditida environmental sample. RNAcentral describes it as "sequence contains 18S rRNA gene, ITS1, 5.8S rRNA gene, ITS2, 28S rRNA gene". The stretch from base 716 to 1139 matches the Rfam family "Eukaryotic large subunit ribosomal RNA", at positions 1 to 418 of the family's 3401-position model. The record is from RNAcentral. Lineage: Eukaryota; Metazoa; Nematoda; Chromadorea; Rhabditida.